RNAcentral lists this long non-coding RNA (406 nucleotides) under Hordeum vulgare. RNAcentral's name for it is "long non-coding RNA (HVUL_LNC021584)". Lineage: Eukaryota; Viridiplantae; Streptophyta; Magnoliopsida; Poales; Poaceae. The record is from RNAcentral.
AGGUGUUGUGGGUUGGUGGCUUGACGGUGAAGACGCGGACGGCGGCUGGUUGCCGGACGACGGAGGCGAGAAGCCCUGGGAUGGCGGUAGGGACGAGGGCGGCAUUGCGUGCCUGGGGCUCUCGCUGUGGGUGGGUGGUGGCGGCGCCGCCGUUCCUGGCGUUGUGGAGCCACCGGGCGGGGACGAUGGGGUGGACGAGCCCGGCGGCGUAAACGAGCCCGGCGGUGGCGGCGACAGUCUACGAUGCCCCCUCGACGGCCCACCCCUCGGAGUGGGCGGCUUGCGGCCUCCGUGCGAUCCCCUGCCUGGGCUUGGCACUGCUGAUGCCUGACACUGCGACUUGCUGCAGUCGAACGGGCGGGCUGCCGCCGCGGCGCACUGUGCCGGCGGGCGCUGCGCGGGAGCG